GAAACCAAGUUUGGAUUUAAGUCAUUAAGAAAUCCCCCACAGGAAUGGAAUAAAUGCCUAAUUUCAGAUUUUGAGGUUUUUUUGGGUUUUGUUUUGCCUAUGUCUUGAGUGUCAGCCUCUUCUCCAGCUGAAACCCUGAACUGUCGCCACACCCCUAUGCAAGGCACUCUCCUGCAAGGAAAGCAAAACAAUAGCAGAGUAGGUUGGUCAUUUUUCUCUGUCAA
RNAcentral lists this long non-coding RNA (224 nucleotides) under Sus scrofa (pig). Its description in RNAcentral is "lncRNA (ENSSSCG00070021860.1)". Lineage: Eukaryota; Metazoa; Chordata; Mammalia; Artiodactyla; Suidae. The record is from RNAcentral.